Molecule: transfer RNA, 72 nt
Filed under: Camelus bactrianus (Bactrian camel)
Lineage: Eukaryota; Metazoa; Chordata; Mammalia; Artiodactyla; Camelidae
Also listed under: 1 other name
Rfam family: tRNA
About the family: Transfer RNA (tRNA) molecules are approximately 80 nucleotides in length. Their secondary structure includes four short double-helical elements and three loops (D, anti-codon, and T loops). Further hydrogen bonds mediate the characteristic L-shaped molecular structure. tRNAs have two regions of fundamental functional importance: the anti-codon, which is responsible for specific mRNA codon recognition, and the 3' end, to which the tRNAs corresponding amino acid is attached (by aminoacyl-tRNA synthetases). tRNAs cope with the degeneracy of the genetic code in two manners: having more than one tRNA (with a specific anti-codon) for a particular amino acid; and 'wobble' base-pairing, i.e. permitting non-standard base-pairing at the 3rd anti-codon position.
Source: Rfam by way of RNAcentral
GAGGGUAUAGUUCAGUGGUAGAGAGCGGGCUUAGCAUGUACAAGGUCCUGGGUUCAAACCCCAGUCCCUCCA